AGAGUUUGAUCCUGGCUCAGGAUGAACGCUGGCGGCGUGCUUAACACAUGCAAGUCGAACGGGGAUGCCAUUUUUGAAGCGAUUAGCUUGCUGAGAGUGGAAAUGUUGGCAUCUUAGUGGCGGACGGGUGAGUAACGCGUGGGGAACCUGCCCUGUACAGGGGGAUAACACUUAGAAAUAGGUGCUAAUACCGCAUAAGCGCACAGUAUCGCAUGAUACAGUGUGAAAAACUCCGGUGGUACAGGAUGGACCCGCGUCUGAUUAGCUGGUUGGCGGGGUAACGGCCCACCAAGGCGACGAUCAGUAGCCGGCCUGAGAGGGUGAACGGCCACAUUGGGACUGAGACACGGCCCAAACUCCUACGGGAGGCAGCAGUGGGGAAUAUUGCACAAUGGGGGAAACCCUGAUGCAGCGACGCCGCGUGAGUGAGGAAGUAUUUCGGUAUGUAAAGCUCUAUCAGCAGGGAAGAAAAUGACAGUACCUGACUAAGAAGCCCCGGCUAACUACGUGCCAGCAGCCGCGGUAAUACGUAGGGGGCAAGCGUUAUCCGGAUUUACUGGGUGUAAAGGGAGCGUAGACGGAUAAGCAAGUCUGAUGUGAAAAUCCGGGGCAUAACCCCUGGACUGCACUGGGAACUGUCAGGCUGGA
RNAcentral lists this ribosomal RNA (648 nucleotides) under uncultured bacterium. RNAcentral describes it as "bacterial SSU rRNA". It matches the Rfam family "Bacterial small subunit ribosomal RNA", at positions 8 to 645 of the family's 1533-position model. The record is from RNAcentral.